This 300-nucleotide ribosomal RNA is filed under the name uncultured Lactobacillus sp. RNAcentral describes it as "bacterial SSU rRNA". It matches the Rfam family "Bacterial small subunit ribosomal RNA", at positions 496 to 795 of the family's 1533-position model. Lineage: Bacteria; Bacillati; Bacillota; Bacilli; Lactobacillales; Lactobacillaceae. The record is from RNAcentral.
AGAAACUAGGUGACAGCGGGCGGGGGGAUAGGGAGGGGGCGAGCGUUGUCCGGAAUUAGUGGGCGGAAAGGGCGCGCAGGCGGUCCGUUAAGUCGGGUGGGAAAGCCCACGGCUCAACCGUGGAGGGUCAUUGGAAACGGGGGGACUUGAGUGCAGAAGAGGAAAGCGGAAUUCCACGUGUAGCGGUGAAAUGCGUAGAGAUGUGGAGGAACACCAGUGGCGAAGGCGGCUUUCUGGUCUGUAACUGACGCUGAGGCGCGAAAGCGUGGGGAGCAAACAGGAUUAGAUACCCUGGUAGUC